Molecule: ribosomal RNA, 475 nt
Filed under: uncultured bacterium
Lineage: Bacteria
Description: bacterial SSU rRNA
Rfam family: Bacterial small subunit ribosomal RNA
Source: RNAcentral
GACGAACGCNGGCGGCGUGCUUAACACAUGCAAGUCGAACGGAGCGAAUGAAAGCUUGCUUUUAUGAGCUUAGUGGCAAACGGGUGAGUAACACGUAGACAACCUGCCGACAGGAUGGGGACAACAUUCCGAAAGGAAUGCUAAUACCGAAUGAAGCGGAGGAGAGGCAUCUCUCUUCCGUGAAAGAUGGCCUCUAUUUAUAAGCUAUCACCUGCCGAUGGGUCUGCGUCUGAUUAGCUGGUUGGUGAGGUAACGGCUCACCAAGGCGACGAUCAGUAGCCGGUCUGAGAGGAUGAACGGCCACAUUGGGACUGAGACACGGCCCAGACUCCUACGGGAGGCAGCAGUGGGGAAUCUUCCGCAAUGGGCGCAAGCCUGACGGAGCAACGCCGCGUGAGUGAAGAAGGUCUUCGGAUCGUAAAGCUCUGUUGACGGGGACGAACGUGCGAGAGGNGAAUAAACUCUNGCAANGACG